RNAcentral lists this ribosomal RNA (2905 nucleotides) under Pectobacterium brasiliense PBR1692. RNAcentral's name for it is "bacterial LSU rRNA". It matches the Rfam family "Bacterial large subunit ribosomal RNA". Lineage: Bacteria; Pseudomonadati; Pseudomonadota; Gammaproteobacteria; Enterobacterales; Pectobacteriaceae. The record is from RNAcentral.
UUAAGCGACUAAGCGUACACGGUGGAUGCCUAGGCAGUCAGAGGCGAUGAAGGGCGUGCUAAUCUGCGAUAAGCGUCGGUAAGCUGAUAUGAAGCGUUAUACCCGACGAUACCCGAAUGGGGAAACCCAGUGUGUUUCGACACACUAUCAUGACAUGAAUACAUAGUGUCAUGAGGCGAACCGGGGGAACUGAAACAUCUCAGUACCCCGAGGAAAAGAAAUCAACCGAGAUUCCCCCAGUAGCGGCGAGCGAACGGGGAGGAGCCCAGAACCUGAAUCAGUUUGUGUGUUAGUGGAAGCGUCUGGAAAGUCGCACAGUAAAGGGUGAUAGUCCCGUACACAAAAAUGCACAAGCUGUGAGUUCGAUGAGUAGGGCGGGACACGUGACAUCCUGUCUGAAUAUGGGGGGACCAUCCUCCAAGGCUAAAUACUCCUGACUGACCGAUAGUGAACCAGUACCGUGAGGGAAAGGCGAAAAGAACCCCGGCGAGGGGAGUGAAAUAGAACCUGAAACCGUGUACGUACAAGCAGUGGGAGCCUACUUGUUAGGUGACUGCGUACCUUUUGUAUAAUGGGUCAGCGACUUAUAUUCUGUAGCAAGGUUAACCGUAUAGGGGAGCCGCAGGGAAACCGAGUCUUAACUGGGCGUUAAGUUGCAGGGUAUAGACCCGAAACCCGGUGAUCUAGCCAUGGGCAGGUUGAAGGUUGGGUAACACUAACUGGAGGACCGAACCGACUAAUGUUGAAAAAUUAGCGGAUGACUUGUGGCUGGGGGUGAAAGGCCAAUCAAACCGGGAGAUAGCUGGUUCUCCCCGAAAGCUAUUUAGGUAGCGCCUCGUGAACUCAUCUUCGGGGGUAGAGCACUGUUUCGGCUAGGGGGUCAUCCCGACUUACCAACCCGAUGCAAACUACGAAUACCGAAGAAUGUUAUCACGGGAGACACACGGCGGGUGCUAACGUUCGUCGUGAAGAGGGAAACAACCCAGACCGCCAGCUAAGGUCCCAAAGUCAUGGUUAAGUGGGAAACGAUGUGGGAAGGCACAGACAGCCAGGAUGUUGGCUUAGAAGCAGCCAUCAUUUAAAGAAAGCGUAAUAGCUCACUGGUCGAGUCGGCCUGCGCGGAAGAUGUAACGGGGCUAAACCAUGCACCGAAGCUGCGGCAGCGACACUUAGGUGUUGUUGGGUAGGGGAGCGUUCUGUAAGCCUGCGAAGGUGGCCUGUGAGGGCUGCUGGAGGUAUCAGAAGUGCGAAUGCUGACAUAAGUAACGAUAAUGCGGGUGAAAAACCCGCACGCCGGAAGACCAAGGGUUCCUGUCCAACGUUAAUCGGGGCAGGGUGAGUCGACCCCUAAGGCGAGGCUGAAAAGCGUAGUCGAUGGGAAACAGGUUAAUAUUCCUGUACUCGGUGUUACUGCGAAGGGGGGACGGAGAAAGCUAGGUUAUCCGGGCGACGGUUGUCCCGGUUUAAGCGUGAAGGUGGAUGACUUUGGUAAAUCCGGGUCAUCGUUAACACUGAGGCGUGAUGACGAGUCACUACGGUGAUGAAGUAACCGAUGCUACGCUUCCAGGAAAAGCCUCUAAGCUCCAGGUAACAUCAAAUCGUACCCCAAACCGACACAGGUGGUCAGGUAGAGAAUACUCAGGCGCUUGAGAGAACUCGGGUGAAGGAACUAGGCAAAAUGGUGCCGUAACUUCGGGAGAAGGCACGCUGAUGGUAAGUGAAGUGACUUGCUCAUGGAGCUGAAAUCAGUCGAAGAUACCAGCUGGCUGCAACUGUUUAAUAAAAACACAGCACUGUGCAAACACGAAAGUGGACGUAUACGGUGUGACGCCUGCCCGGUGCCGGAAGGUUAAUUGAUGGGGUCAGCCGCAAGGCGAAGCUCUUGAUCGAAGCCCCGGUAAACGGCGGCCGUAACUAUAACGGUCCUAAGGUAGCGAAAUUCCUUGUCGGGUAAGUUCCGACCUGCACGAAUGGCGUAAUGAUGGCCAGGCUGUCUCCACCCGAGACUCAGUGAAAUUGAACUCGCUGUGAAGAUGCAGUGUACCCGCGGCAAGACGGAAAGACCCCGUGAACCUUUACUAUAGCUUGACACUGAACCUUGAGCCUUGAUGUGUAGGAUAGGUGGGAGGCUUUGAAGUGUGGACGCCAGUCUGCAUGGAGCCAACCUUGAAAUACCACCCUUUAAUGUUUGAUGUUCUAACGUGGACCCGUGAUCCGGGUUGCGGACAGUGUCUGGUGGGUAGUUUGACUGGGGCGGUCUCCUCCCAAAGCGUAACGGAGGAGCACGAAGGUUAGCUAAUCCUGGUCGGACAUCAGGAGGUUAGUGCAAAGGCAUAAGCUAGCUUGACUGCGAGAGUGACAGCUCGAGCAGGUGCGAAAGCAGGUCUUAGUGAUCCGGUGGUUCUGAAUGGAAGGGCCAUCGCUCAACGGAUAAAAGGUACUCCGGGGAUAACAGGCUGAUACCGCCCAAGAGUUCAUAUCGACGGCGGUGUUUGGCACCUCGAUGUCGGCUCAUCACAUCCUGGGGCUGAAGUAGGUCCCAAGGGUAUGGCUGUUCGCCAUUUAAAGUGGUACGCGAGCUGGGUUUAGAACGUCGUGAGACAGUUCGGUCCCUAUCUGCCGUGGGCGUUGGAAGAUUGAGAGGGGUUGCUCCUAGUACGAGAGGACCGGAGUGAACGCACCACUGGUGUACGGGUUGUGAUGCCAAUUGCAUUGCCCGGUAGCUAAGUGCGGAAGAGAUAACCGCUGAAAGCAUCUAAGCGGGAAACUUGCCUCGAGAUGAGUCUUCCCUGGGCACUAGAUGCCCCUGAAGGGCCGUUGAAGACGACGACGUAGAUAGGCUGGGUGUGUAAGCGUAGCGAUACGUUGAGCUAACCAGUACUAAUGACCCGAGAGGCUUAACCUU